GAUGAACGCUGGCGGCGUGCCUAAUACAUGCAAGUCGAGCGAACAGACGAGGAGCUUGCUCCUCUGACGUUAGCGGCGGACGGGUGAGUAACACGUGGAUAACCUACCUAUGAGACUGGGAUCACUUCGGGAAACCGGAGCUAAUACCGGAUAAUAUAUUGAACCGCAUGGUUCAAUAGUGAAAGACGGUUUUGCUGUCACUGAUAGAUGGAUCCGCGCCGCAUUAGCUAGUUGGUAAGGUAACGGCUUACCAAGGCAACGAUGCGUAGCCGACCUGAGAGGGUGAUCGGCCACACUGGAACUGAGACACGGUCCAGACUCCUACGGGAGGCAGCAGUAGGGAAUCUUCCGCAAUGGGCGAAAGCCUGACGGAGCAACGCCGCGUGAGUGAUGAAGGUCUUCGGAUCGUAAAACUCUGUUAUUAGGGAAGAACAAAUGUGUAAGUAACUAUGCACGUCUUGACGGUACCUAAUCAGAAAGCCACGGCUAACUACGUG
This 497-nucleotide ribosomal RNA is filed under the name uncultured bacterium. Its description in RNAcentral is "partial 16S ribosomal RNA". It matches the Rfam family "Bacterial small subunit ribosomal RNA", at positions 28 to 507 of the family's 1533-position model. The record is from RNAcentral.